RNAcentral lists this small RNA (80 nucleotides) under Flavobacterium sp. 5. RNAcentral describes it as "Flavo-1 RNA". It matches the Rfam family "Flavo-1 RNA". The record is from RNAcentral. Lineage: Bacteria; Pseudomonadati; Bacteroidota; Flavobacteriia; Flavobacteriales; Flavobacteriaceae.
CCCUAGCCCUGAUAGAAGUGAAAAUCCUUUUUGUUUUUCCUUUAAAAAUAAAAAAAUUGUAACGGAUAGCAGGAAAUAGU